Long non-coding RNA from Zingiber officinale, 1145 nucleotides. RefSeq lists it as uncharacterized. The record is from RefSeq and is a predicted model, not a curated record. Lineage: Eukaryota; Viridiplantae; Streptophyta; Magnoliopsida; Zingiberales; Zingiberaceae. The transcript is spliced from 3 exons.
UUAAUUUACCGCUUUAGAAAAUGAGGAAUUGCCUUAUUUUGGACCUCUGGAAGUCACGUGUCGGGCCACUCUCAUGUGUUCAAGACCACGAGCGAUCGCCGACCGGGGAAAGAAGACGGCGAUGGCAGAGAAACUCGGAUUCGUGACGUCGCCAUUAGGGGUCCAAUAGAGGCAUUUUGAGGAGCUUAAAAGGAACUGGAAGAGCAACUUUUCCUUCUUGGGACGCAAGAAACCUCUCCCCAAAUGGACCGAUACUGAUGUCUAGGAGUUUAUUGCCUCCGAUCCGACCAAUGGCCCGCGGGAAUGGAGGUUCUUGAACAUUGGAAGCAGUUCUAAAAGAUUGAUAUUCCUAUAUUGGUGGGAGGAUAAAAAAUUAGCCCUCCACCCUAUAUUUGAUGCCCCAGCCAAAAUCAAGCACAUCAAGCAGCCAUGGACUUCAGUUGGCCGGCACCGGAGCCGGCCACUGACUAUGUCAGCCAACGACCACUUCUAGCAGCUCCACAGCAUAACAACCUGCUGCUGCGCCAAAUGUUCCUGCACAGCUACCAGUUCACGGUCAGGGAGAGCCUCAAGGGUCAGGUUUGCCGAAACCUGAAGGAGGCUGGUGAGGUCGGGAAGGCAAUUGUGGCGGAGAUUGUUGGCCGGGUGUUAGAAGUUGGGUUGAAGUUGCGUAAGAUGAAUCCGCUGUGGUGUUUCAGGCCCUACCACAAGAACUUCUACUUGGAAGAUGCAUAGUUUGCUUGAUUGCUCAUUAUUAACACCAAAACUAUGUUUGAGUACUCACUUGCGCUUCAUCUUCUGGUCUUAUGUACAAAUUCAGUUAUCGUGUUAGUUUUUUUUUUCUCUCGCUAUCCACAUUAAAAGAACUUCCAUAAUCAUCUUUGUCUUCGAGUCCAUUAUAGCGCUUUGUGCAAUCGAAGAGUUGAUGCAACAAGGUUGAUGCCAAGCAGGUCAGACAAGUCAAACGAGAUAAGGAGGUUGCUUUGUGGUUCGAGACUCUUAACGAGGGAACCAGCGAUAGACCGGGUGUGCAAAAACAGAUUAUGAGCCGGUCCACUACUUAAUUACUUAGCUGAGUAAUUACUGAAAACAUGUAAUCUUAAUCCAAAUUGGAUUUUAAUUUAUCUUACAAAAUAUCCACCUUA